CCUACGGGAGGCAGCAGUGAGGAAUUUUGGACAMUGGGGGAAACCCUGAUCCAGCGACGCCGCGUGUGGGAUGAAUGGGUUAUGCCCUGUAAACCACUGUCAGCAGAGAAGAAAAGGCUCCUUUGGAGCCCGGGACUGUAUCUGCAGAGGAAGGACCGGCUAACUACGUGCCAGCAGCCGCGGUAAUACGUAGGGUCCAAGCGUUAUCCGGAAUUACUGGGUAUAAAGGGUGCGUAGGCGGCCUUGUGCGUCGAAGGUUAAAGGCCAUGGCUCAACCAUGGAAAUGCCCUCGAUACGGCAAGGCUUGAGUAUGAGAGAGGAAGAUGGAAUUCCUGGUGUAGCAGUGAAAUGCGUAGAUAUCNGGAGGAACACCGGUGGCGAAGGCGGUCUUCUGGCUCAUUACUGACGCUGAGGCACGAAAGUGUGGGGAGCGAACAGGAUUAGAUACCCUGGUAGUCCACACCGUAAACGAUGUAUGCUUGGUGUUAGAACAAAUUGUUGUUCUAGUGCCGSAGAUAAUUCGUUAAGCAUACCACCUGG
RNAcentral lists this ribosomal RNA (540 nucleotides) under uncultured bacterium. Its description in RNAcentral is "bacterial SSU rRNA". It matches the Rfam family "Bacterial small subunit ribosomal RNA", at positions 338 to 876 of the family's 1533-position model. The record is from RNAcentral.